RNAcentral lists this long non-coding RNA (206 nucleotides) under Elaeis guineensis (African oil palm). RNAcentral describes it as "long non-coding RNA (EGUI_LNC035547)". Lineage: Eukaryota; Viridiplantae; Streptophyta; Magnoliopsida; Arecales; Arecaceae. The record is from RNAcentral.
UCUGAAUGCAAUGGAUACUUGUAUUUAUAUGAAAAGAUUGAAGUAGCUAUUGGAAGGAUUUAAUGCUUUAGCAACAUCAUUAAUUGAUGGCCGACUAUCUAUGAAGAGGCUCAACGCACCAUAGAAGAAAUGACUCCAACCACUUAAGGGAUGACUCCAAGUGAUCUGAGAGACGGCUCCUACCUUACUUCCAUUUUUGCUCAUAG